UACCUGGUUGAUCCUGCCAGUAGUCAUAUGCUUGUCUCAAAGAUUAAGCCAUGCAUGUCUAAGUAUAAGCACUUGUACUGUGAAACUGCGAAUGGCUCAUUAAAUCAGUUAUCGUUUAUUUGAUUGUACUUUACUACAUGGAUACCUGUGGUAAUUCUAGAGCUAAUACAUGCGAAAAGUCCCGACUUCUGGAAGGGAUGUAUUUAUUAGAUUAAAAGCCAAUGCGGGUCAAACCGUCUACUUGGUGAAACAUGAUAACUUAUCGAAUCGCAUGGCCUUGCGCCGGCGAUAUUUCAUUCAAAUUUCUGCCCUAUCAACUUUCGAUGGUAAGGUAGUGGCUUACCAUGGUCGUAACGGGUGACGGAGAAUUAGGGUUCGAUUCCGGAGAGGGAGCCUGAGAAGCGGCUACCACAUCUAAGGAAGGCAGCAGGCACGAAAAUUACCCAAUCCCAAUUCGGGGAGGUAGUGACAAGAAAUAACAAUACGGGGUCUUUAUAGGUCUCGCAAUUGGAAUGAGUACAAUUUAAAUCCUUUAACGAGUACCCAUUGGAGGGCAAGUCUGGUGCCAGCAGCCGCGGUAAUUCCAGCUCCAAUAGC
This 597-nucleotide ribosomal RNA is filed under the name uncultured marine eukaryote. RNAcentral's name for it is "SSU rRNA". It matches the Rfam family "Eukaryotic small subunit ribosomal RNA", at positions 1 to 598 of the family's 1831-position model. The record is from RNAcentral.